AUUUUUUUUUAAUGCCACCUAAGCUGCUAUUUUUCUGUUGGGUGCAGCUACAAAGCCUAAUUCCAAGUAAAACAGCUGCCAGGAAGCCUUUAACCCUUGAAGUUUGCUUGCAAUACAGGAUUUAUUUAUUUCUCUUUCUUUCACACACCUCAACCUCGCCUCCCCAUCCAGUUCACCUGCAUAGUUACUAAACACUAGACCGGAGACAAAAUUUCUCCCUCAUUUCUGAUAACGUUCUGUUGUAUUUUUGCACUCUUCUUGAAAGAGACGGCCAUUUUGUUGAACAUUUUCUGCAAUUUUUUCCCUUGUGGUGGCCGCCAUUUCCGCCCUCAGUGCUCCAGAAGAAUGCUGGGAUGUUGUUGUGGGCAAUGCAGUGGCAGCUGCUAUUUGCUGCUGUAGCAGAACAGAAGAAGAAAAACCUUAAAAGACGGUUGUGUACCACGGCAACACAGAAGUACUGGAAAGGGUUACUUCCAGGUUUCGCUGCUCGCGCAUGGGCACAAGCGCCAAAUUGCACCGUGCACCUGCGCAGAUACAGUGCUUCAGGUUGCGGGCUUUUCGUGUUGCAAACGGGCCUCUGGAAUGGAUCCCAUUCGCAACCAGAGGAGACCUCUGAAUUCCACCCUCUUCCAGACUGCAAUCCCAGAUGCGCUACAAGACCCCCAGCGGGUAUCUCUGCUUCUGAAAUAUGGCACUCGGGAGACUCCGUAGCCCACAGUUCCUUCUCCUCAGCUUCACUCCAGUCAUCCUAUAACCUGACUCUCCUCAGACCUUGGCUACUGAUCUGGAAUACUAGUGACCAUGCUGCAGUGUUCAGAAUAUAUAUUUAUACACAGUGGGCUAGGAACUUCUCCAAGGGAAGAACGGAUCAAAAUAUUGCUCACUCCUGCACUGGGGCAGUUUAG
RNAcentral lists this long non-coding RNA (905 nucleotides) under Podarcis muralis (Common wall lizard). RNAcentral describes it as "lncRNA (ENSPMRG00000006947.1)". Lineage: Eukaryota; Metazoa; Chordata; Lepidosauria; Squamata; Lacertidae. The record is from RNAcentral.